This 254-nucleotide ribosomal RNA is filed under the name uncultured bacterium. RNAcentral describes it as "partial 16S ribosomal RNA". It matches the Rfam family "Bacterial small subunit ribosomal RNA", at positions 524 to 776 of the family's 1533-position model. The record is from RNAcentral.
GACGAACCGAGCGAACGUUAUUCGGAAUCACUGGGCUUAAAGGGCGCGUAGGCGGUCAGCACAAGUCAGUUGUGAAAUCUCCGGGCUUAACUCGGAAAGGUCAACUGAUACUGUGCGACUAGAGUGCAGAAGGGGCAACUGGAAUUCUCGGUGUAGCGGUGAAAUGCGUAGAUAUCGAGAGGAACACCUGCGGCGAAGGCGGGUUGCUGGGCUGACACUGACGCUGAUGCGCGAAAGCCAGGGGAGCGAACGGG